CAACUUUUAACAACGGAUCUCUUGGUUCUCGCAUCGAUGAAGAACGUCGCAAAGUGCGAUAACUAGUGUGAAUUGCAUAUUCAGUGAAUCAUCUAGUCUUUGAACGCAACUUGCGCUCAUUGGUAUUCCAAUGAGCACGCCUGUUUCAGUAUCAAAA
Molecule: ribosomal RNA, 157 nt
Filed under: Mucor plumbeus
Lineage: Eukaryota; Fungi; Mucoromycota; Mucoromycetes; Mucorales; Mucoraceae
Description: 5.8S ribosomal RNA
Rfam family: 5.8S ribosomal RNA
About the family: 5.8S ribosomal RNA (5.8S rRNA) is a component of the large subunit of the eukaryotic ribosome. It is transcribed by RNA polymerase I as part of the 45S precursor that also contains 18S and 28S rRNA.
Source: RNAcentral